This 468-nucleotide ribosomal RNA is filed under the name uncultured bacterium. RNAcentral describes it as "partial 16S ribosomal RNA". It matches the Rfam family "Bacterial small subunit ribosomal RNA", at positions 28 to 507 of the family's 1533-position model. The record is from RNAcentral.
GACGAACGCUGGCGGCGUGCUUAACACAUGCAAGUCGAACGGAAAGGCCCUGCUUUUGUGGGGUGCUCGAGUGGCGAACGGGUGAGUAACACGUGAGUAACCUGCCCUUGACUUUGGGAUAACUUCAGGAAACUGGGGCUAAUACCGGAUAGGAGCUCCUGCUGCAUGGUGGGGGUUGGAAAGUUUCGGCGGUUGGGGAUGGACUCGCGGCUUAUCAGCUUGUUGGUGGGGUAGUGGCUUACCAAGGCUUUGACGGGUAGCCGGCCUGAGAGGGUGACCGGCCCCAUUGGGACUGAGAUACGGCCCAGACCCCUACGGGAGGGAGCAGGGGGGAAUAUUGCACAAUGGGCGGAAGCCUGAUGCAGCAACGCCGCGUGCGGGAUGACGGCCUUCGGGUUGUAAACCGCUUUCGCCUGUGACGAAGCGUGAGUGACGGUAAUGGGUAAAGAAGCACCGGCUAACUACGUG